Long non-coding RNA from Meriones unguiculatus (Mongolian gerbil), 1089 nucleotides. RefSeq lists it as uncharacterized. The transcript is spliced from 3 exons. The record is from RefSeq and is a predicted model, not a curated record. Lineage: Eukaryota; Metazoa; Chordata; Mammalia; Rodentia; Muridae.
CAGACUGGGUCCACUUGUCUCUGGAGUCUGAAGUUGUCUACAGGAGGAUGAGAGAUGUCCAGUGUCUCAAGAAUGGGUGCUGGAGAAGCAGCUAAGGAAGAGUACAGAGAAGAAGGAAACUGUUACACUGGGAUUUUAUGAGAGUAAAGAUGGAGAAGGUUCCUAAGGAGUACUGGAUGGGUUACAGGUGUUUGAUGAGCCACCUGUUGUUUCUGCUGCGAAUUGUUUGUGCUGAAGUGUUUCUCCAUCUCCAAACACCACAUUUUUAUGAAUAGUCUCAACCCAACUCUUAUUAACUGCUGUUUCUCAAAAACAGUGAUUGUCACUUUGGGACAGUGUUCUUCAUUAGGAUGUUUGUGCCAAGUUCAAAGGAAGUAUAGUUUUCCUUCCAUGACACAGAAAGGAGUUGUGGACAUUUUGAGAUAGAUGCCAAGACUAUUGCUGAUUAAAAAACAAAAACAAAAACAAAAAACCCAUCAAGAUGGGCACUAGUUACCUACAAGUAUUUGUAAAACAAAAUGCCACUAGUGAGACUCUUACAACAUAUCAGUAGAAAAAAGGCUUUAUUAGCUAUGAACAUAGAAUGACUCUCUGAAAACUUACACUGAUAGUUUAGAACUCUUCCAAGUUAAUUACUUGACAAAAACAAAACAUCACCACCAUUUAGACACUAUAACAAGACCCAGAGCCUCCACAACAUAGCAUCCAAAUGGCUGGGAUACAAUUCAAAAUUAAUUGAUCUAAGAACAAUUGAGGGGGAGAAUUUUAACCUGUUCUCAAGAGAACUGAGUCCUGAGAAGAAGCAGACAGACAUUAGAAUCGUCAAACAAGGACCUCACAGAGCCAUGACAUCAGUACUCAGCUGGCUCAGUGUAAACCUGUUCAAAGCAGAAGAAAAUAUCAGAUACAGCAAGAGAAAUAAAAACUAAAAUUAACCAAAAAGAAAAAAAAAGAAGAAAUCUGAUAACUGUGUAAAAUAACGAAAUACUUCGUGAUGUUUAGUCCUAUGAAAAUUGAAUUCAUGUCUAUAAGUCCCUCAACAAAGUGAGUCCAUUGAGUUUUAACUUUAAUCUCUAACCUUGAACUUGA